AGUGGUCACUAUCACAUCUCAGCUGCUUCCACAGAGCAGCUACGGACCAAAAGGAGCCCAGAACGCCAAUUCUCCAUAAUAAUUACUGUUCUGUUCGAUGCAACUGAUCUGCAAUAUUUCAGAGAAUGUUAGCU
Small nucleolar RNA from Ochotona princeps (American pika), 134 nucleotides. NCBI's taxonomy places the organism in Eukaryota, Metazoa, Chordata, Mammalia, Lagomorpha, Ochotonidae. The record is from Ensembl.